UGCCAGCCGCCGCGGUAACACGUAGGAGGCAAACGUUAUCCGGAUUUACUGGGCGUAACGCGCGUGCAGGCGGUUUGGUAAGUUGGAUGUGAAAGCUCCCGGCUCAACUGGGAGAGGUCGUUCAAUACUGCCAAACUAGAGGACGGUAGAGGAAGGUGGAAUUCCCGGUGUAGUGGUGAAAUGCGUAGAUAUCGGGAGGAACACCAGUGGCGAAGGCGGCCUUCUGGGCCGUUCCUGACGCUCAGACGCGAAAGCAUGGGUAGCGAACGAGAUUAGAUA
Molecule: ribosomal RNA, 279 nt
Filed under: uncultured bacterium
Lineage: Bacteria
Description: partial 16S ribosomal RNA
Rfam family: Bacterial small subunit ribosomal RNA
Source: RNAcentral